This 265-nucleotide unclassified non-coding RNA is filed under the name Hevea brasiliensis (rubber tree). The record is from RNAcentral. Lineage: Eukaryota; Viridiplantae; Streptophyta; Magnoliopsida; Malpighiales; Euphorbiaceae.
GCCUGAGGAGUUGACUGACCAGAGAGGACAGGGAGGUUUCGCAGGUGGUGGAUCGGAAUUACAAACACUCGCCGCUCGACACGACAUCGUAUAUAUCCCAGCACGCCAUCGUUCCCGACAAUAACGACAUCUCCUCGUAGCACGGAUCACGUCUCUCAAUAUCAACGGGAGACGCCCCGCUUCGAAUCUACUACUCCUUAGAUAGACAGUAGAUACCAGUGCUGUGUGUAUUUUGACAGAACCUCCGUCUUCUAUUGGAUCUGCG